CCCUUAGAUGUUCUGGGCCGCACGCGCGCUACACUGAUGCAUUCAACGAGUCUAAAACCUGGUCUGAUAGGGCUGGGUAAUCUUUUGAAUGUGCAUCGUGAUUGGGAUAGAUGAUUGCAAUUCUUCAUCUUCAACGAGGAAUGCCUAGUAAGCGUGAUUCAUCAAAUCGCGUUGAUUACGUCCCUGCCCUUUGUACACACCGCCCGUCGCUCCUACCGAUUGAAUGUGUUGGUGAGGAGCUCGGAUUGGCAGCAGUUGGUGGUUCGCCACCGGCUAUUGCUGAGAAGUCCUCCAAACCGCCCCAUUUAGAGGAAGGAGAAGUCGUAACA
Molecule: ribosomal RNA, 329 nt
Filed under: uncultured eukaryote
Lineage: Eukaryota
Description: partial 18S ribosomal RNA
Rfam family: Eukaryotic small subunit ribosomal RNA
Source: RNAcentral